Molecule: unclassified non-coding RNA, 407 nt
Filed under: soil metagenome
Description: partial contains 5.8S ribosomal RNA, internal transcribed spacer 2, and large subunit ribosomal RNA
Rfam family: 5.8S ribosomal RNA (bases 4-119)
Source: RNAcentral
GAUAAGAACGCAGCGAAAUGCGAUAAGUAAUGUGAAUUGCAGAAUUCAGUGAAUCAUCGAAUCUUUGAACGCACCUUGCGCUCCUUGGCAUUCCGAGGAGCAUGCCUGUUUGAGUGUCAUUAAAUUCUCAAGACCUGUCUGCUUUUUUGAUAGGUAUUGGAUUUUGGGGGUUGCAGGCUGUUUCAAAUAAAUAGCCUUGCUCUCCUUGAAUGUAUUAGUGGAGAAAAGCCAUUGAACUCCAUUGGUGUGAUAAAACCUAUCAAUGCCAGGAGCAAUAUCACUACUUCUCUCUGCUGUCUAACUGUGACUGUCUGUAUUAAUUAGUAUGGAUGGGGACAACUUGACCAACUUGACCUCAAAUCAGGUAGGACUACCCGCUGAACUUAAGCAUAUCAAUACGCGGAGGA